Molecule: ribosomal RNA, 554 nt
Filed under: Brueelia sp. KPJ-2001
Lineage: Eukaryota; Metazoa; Arthropoda; Insecta; Psocodea; Philopteridae
Description: SSU rRNA
Rfam family: Eukaryotic small subunit ribosomal RNA
Source: RNAcentral
AAGCCUGCAUGUCUCAGUGCAAGCCGAAUUAAGGUGAAACCGCGAAAGGCUCAUUAAAUCAGCUAUGGUUCCUUAGAUGGUACAGUACAGUUACUUGGAUAACUGUGGCAAUUCUAGAGCUAAUACAUGCAAACCGAGUUCCGACCGCUUAGCAGGCGGAAGGAAUGCUUUUAUUAGAUCAAAACCAAUCGGACUCCUCCGCGGGUCCGUCACGCCUUGGUGACUCUGAAUAACUUCGGGCUGAUCGCACGGUCCCGAACCGGCGACGCAUCUUUCAAAUGUCUGACUUAUCAACUUUCGAUGGUAGGUUCUGCGCCUACCAUGGUCGUAACGGGUAACGGGGAAUCAGGGUUCGAUUCCGGAGAGGGAGCCUGAGAAACGGCUACCACAUCCAAGGAAGGCAGCAGGCGCGCAAAUUACCCACUCCCGGCACGGGGAGGUAGUGACGAAAAAUAACGAUGCAGAACUCUUUCCGAGGCUCUGCAAUCGGAAUGAGCACACUCUAAAUCAUUUAACGAGUAUCCAUUGGAGGGCAAGUCUGGUGCCAGCAGCCG